CUGGCUCAGGAUGAACGCUAGCGACAGGCCUAACACAUGCAAGUCGAGGGGCAUCGGGGCGAGGAGCAAUCCUUGCCGCCGGCGACCGGCGCACGGGUGAGUAACGCGUAUGCGACCUGCCCGUUGCAGGGGGAUAAUCGGGAGAAAUCCCGUCUAAUACCGCGUAACGCCGCGGGGCUGCAUGGCCCUGCGGCCAAAGGGAGCGAUUCCGGCAACGGAUGGGCAUGCGUGACAUUAGCUAGUUGGCGGGGCAACGGCCCACCAAGGCGACGAUGUCUAGGGGUUCUGAGAGGAAGGUCCCCCACACUGGUACUGAGACACGGACCAGACUCCUACGGGAGGCAGCAGUGAGGAAUAUUGGUCAAUGGGCGCGAGCCUGAACCAGCCAAGUCGCGUGAGGGAUGACGGCCCUACGGGUUGUAAACCUCUUUUGUCGGGGAGCAAAUUCCGCCACGUGUGGCGGAGUCGAGAGUACCCGAAGAAAAAGCAUCGGCUAACUCCGUGCCAGCAGCCGCGGUAAUACGGAGGAUGCGAGCGUUAUCCGGAUUUAUUGGGUUUAAAGGGUGCGUAGGCGGACUGUCAAGUCAGCGGUAAAAUACGGGGGCUCAACCUCCGCCCGCCGUUGAAACUGUCGGUCUUGAGUGGGCGAGAAGUAUGCGGAAUGCGUGGUGUAGCGGUGUAAUGCAUAGAUAUCACGCAGAACUCCGAUUGCGAAGGCAGCAUACCGGCGCCCAACUGACGCUGAAGCACGAAAGCGUGGGUAUCGAACAGGAUUAGAUACCCUGGUAGUCCACGCAGUAAACGAUGAAUACUAGCUGUCCGGGGCGAAUGAGCCCUGGGUGGCACAGCGAAAGCGUUAAGUAUUCCACCUGGGGAGUACGCCGGCAACGGUGAAACUCAAAGGAAUUGACGGGGGCCCGCACAAGCGGAGGAACAUGUGGUUUAAUUCGAUGAUACGCGAGGAACCUUACCCGGGCUCAAACGACACAGGAACGUACCUGAAAGGGUUCGGCUCUGCGGAGCCUGUGUCGAGGUGCUGCAUGGUUGUCGUCAGCUCGUGCCGUGAGGUGUCGGCUUAAGUGCCAUAACGAGCGCAACCCCCAUCGACAGUUGCUAACAGGUUAGGCUGAGGACUCUGUCGAGACUGCCGGCGCAAGCUGCGAGGAAGGCGGGGAUGACGUCAAAUCAGCACGGCCCUUACGUCCGGGGCGACACACGUGUUACAAUGGCAGGUACAGCGGGAAGCCACCUGGCGACAGGGGGCGGAACCCGAAAGCCUGUCUCAGUUCGGAUUGGAGUCUGCAACCCGACUCCAUGAAGCUGGAUUCGCUAGUAAUCGCGCAUCAGCCACGGCGCGGUGAAUACGUUCCCGGGCCUUGUACACACCGCCCGUCAAGCCAUGGAAGCCGGGGGUGCCUGAAGUGCGCUGCCGCGAGGAGCGCCCUAGGGUAAAACCGGUGACUGGGGCUAAGUCGUAACAAGGUAACCGU
Molecule: ribosomal RNA, 1490 nt
Filed under: uncultured bacterium
Lineage: Bacteria
Description: 16S ribosomal RNA
Rfam family: Bacterial small subunit ribosomal RNA
Source: RNAcentral